RNAcentral lists this ribosomal RNA (19 nucleotides) under Bonamia perspora. Its description in RNAcentral is "partial large subunit ribosomal RNA". Lineage: Eukaryota; Endomyxa; Ascetosporea; Haplosporida; Haplosporidiidae. The record is from RNAcentral.
AAGUCUCAAGUAAAGCAAG